RNAcentral lists this ribosomal RNA (383 nucleotides) under uncultured eukaryote. RNAcentral describes it as "partial 18S ribosomal RNA". It matches the Rfam family "Eukaryotic small subunit ribosomal RNA", at positions 592 to 976 of the family's 1831-position model. The record is from RNAcentral.
CAAUAGCGUAUACUAAAGUUGUUGCAGUUAAAAAGCUCGUAGUUGGAUUUCUGGUGGGAGCGAUCGGUCUGGCGCUUAGCGCGAGUACUUGCAUCGUCUCCGGCCAUCCUUGGGGAGAGUCUGUCUGGCAUUAGGUUGUCGGGCAGAGGAUCCUCAUCGUUUACUGUGAAAAAAUUAGAGUGUUCAAAGCAGGCUUAUGCCGUUGAAUAUAUUAGCAUGGAAUAAUAAGAUAGGACUUUGGUACUAUUUUGUUGGUUUGCGCACCAAAGUAAUGAUUAAUAGGGACAGUUGGGGGUAUUCGUAUUCCGUUGUCAGAGGUGAAAUUCUUGGAUUUACGGAAGACGAACUACUGCGAAAGCAUUUACCAAGGAUGUUUUCAUUAA